Molecule: ribosomal RNA, 1594 nt
Filed under: metagenome
Description: bacterial LSU rRNA
Rfam family: Bacterial large subunit ribosomal RNA
Source: RNAcentral
AAAUGCGCCCAUAUCGAACCUCGUGAUGCUAAGAGUCCUUAAGUCCUCUGAUGUCCUUCGGGACUAGGGGUGAGGCUGAACGCUCGAUCCGAUCGGGUAGUAGGUAAGCGAUGGGGUGACGCAGGAAGGUAGUCCAGCCCAGGCGAUGGUUGUCCUGGGGUAAGCAUGUAGGGCGGAACGUAGGUAAAUCCGCGUUCCAUUAAGCCUGAGAUGUGAUGCCGAGCCGAUUGUGGUGAAGUGGAUGAUCCUAUGCUGCCGAGAAAAGCCUCUAGUGAGUGUUGUGGCGGCCCGUACCCUAAACCGACUCAGGUGGUCAGGUAGAGAAUACCAAGGCGAUCGGGUGAACUGUGGUUAAGGAUCUCGGCAAAUUGCCCCCGUAACUUCGGGAGAAGGGGGACCUCUGCUGGUGAUGGGCUUUACGUCUGGAGCUGGUGGGGGUCGCAGUGGCCAGGGGGAAGCGACUGUUUACUAAAAACUCAGGUCCGUGCGAAGUCGUAAGACGAUGUAUACGGACUGACGCCUGCCCGGUGCCGGAACGUUAAGGGGACCGCUUAGCCAGCUUCGGUUGGCGAAGGUGAGAACUUAAGCGCCGGUAAACGGCGGUGGUAACUAUAACCAUCCUAAGGUAGCGAAAUUCCUUGUCGGGUAAGUUCCGACCUGCACGAAUGGCGUAACGACUUCCCCGCUGUCUCAACCACAGACCCGGCGAAAUUGCACUACGAGUAAAGAUGCUCGUUUCGCGCAGCAGGACGGAAAGACCCCGGGACCUUCACUACAGCUUGACAUUGGCGUUUGGGGCGUCUUGUGUAGGAUAGGUGGGAGACUGGGAAGCUGUCACGCUAGUGAUGGUGGAGUCAUUGGUGAAAUACCACUCUGGUCGUUUUGAACGUCUAACUCUGGUCCGUGAUCCGGAUCGGGGACAGUGUCUGGUGGGUAGUUUAACUGGGGCGGUUGCCUCCUAAAGAGUAACGGAGGCGCCCAAAGGUUCCCUCAGCCUGGUUGGCAAUCAGGUGUUGAGUGUAAGUGCACAAGGGAGCUUGACUGUGAGACUGACAGGUCGAGCAGGAGCGAAAGCUGGGACUAGUGAUCCGGCAUCGGCGUGUGGAAGCGGUGUCGCUCAACGGCUAAAAGGUACCCCGGGGAUAACAGGCUGAUCUUCCCCAAGAGUCCAUAUCGACGGGAUGGUUUGGCACCUCGAUGUCGGCUCGUCGCAUCCUGGGGCUGGAGUAGGUCCCAAGGGUUGGGCUGUUCGCCCAUUAAAGCGGUACGCGAGCUGGGUUUAGAACGUCGCGAGACAGUUCGGUCCCUAUCCGCUGCGCGCGCAGGAGACUUGAAGGGGGCUGUCCCUAGUACGAGAGGACCGGGACGGACGAACCUCUGGUGUGCCAGUUGUACCGCCAGGUGCACGGCUGGUUGGCUACGUUCGGAAGGGAUAACCGCUGAAAGCAUCUAAGCGGGAAGCUCGCCUUGAGAUGAGGUCUCCCACCCUGUGAGGGGGUAAGGCUCCCGGUAGACGACCGGGUUGAUAGGCCGGGGGUGGAAGCACGGUAACGUGUGGAGCUGACCGGUACUAAUAGGCCGAGGACUUGACCAC